This 497-nucleotide ribosomal RNA is filed under the name uncultured bacterium. RNAcentral describes it as "partial 16S ribosomal RNA". It matches the Rfam family "Bacterial small subunit ribosomal RNA", at positions 28 to 507 of the family's 1533-position model. The record is from RNAcentral.
GAUGAACGCUGGCGGCGUGCCUAAUACAUGCAAGUCGAGCGAACAGACGAGGAGCUUGCUCCUCUGACGUUAGCGGCGGACGGGUGAGUAACACGUGGAUAACCUACCUAUAAGACUGGGAUAACUUCGGGAAACCGGAGCUAAUACCGGAUAAUAUAUUGAACCGCAUGGUUCAAUAGUGAAAGACGGUUUUGCUGUCACUUAUAGAUGGAUCCGCGCCGCAUUAGCUAGUUGGUAAGGUAACGGCUUACCAAGGCAACGAUGCGUAGCCGACCUGAGGGGGUGAUCGGCCACACUGGAACUGAGACACGGUCCAGACUCCUACGGGAGGCAGCAGUAGGGAAUCUUCCGCAAUGGGCGAAAGCCUGACGGAGCAACGCCGCGUGAGUGAUGAAGGUCUUCGGAUCGUAAAACUCUGUUAUUAGGGAAGAACAAAUGUGUAAGUAACUAUGCACGUCUUGACGGUACCUAAUCAGAAAGCAACGGCUAACUACGUG